GGAAAUAGCUCAGUGGUAAAGUACAUACUUAGUGUGCAUGAGGUCCUGGGUUCAAUCCCCAGUACCUCCA
This 70-nucleotide transfer RNA is filed under the name Camelus bactrianus (Bactrian camel). It matches the Rfam family "tRNA". Rfam says of the family: Transfer RNA (tRNA) molecules are approximately 80 nucleotides in length. Their secondary structure includes four short double-helical elements and three loops (D, anti-codon, and T loops). RNAcentral also lists the same sequence under 2 other names. The record is from Rfam by way of RNAcentral. Lineage: Eukaryota; Metazoa; Chordata; Mammalia; Artiodactyla; Camelidae.